This 150-nucleotide ribosomal RNA is filed under the name Barrufeta bravensis. RNAcentral describes it as "5.8S ribosomal RNA". The stretch from base 41 to 150 matches the Rfam family "5.8S ribosomal RNA", at positions 1 to 110 of the family's 154-position model. From Rfam's summary of the family: 5.8S ribosomal RNA (5.8S rRNA) is a component of the large subunit of the eukaryotic ribosome. Lineage: Eukaryota; Dinophyceae; Gymnodiniales; Gymnodiniaceae. The record is from RNAcentral.
GUAAAACGUCUUUCGUCAAUGGCUUCUGCCUUACAUUUACAACUUUCAGCGANGGAUGUCUCGGUUCGAUCAACGAUGAAGGGCGCAGCGAAGUGCGAUAAGCAUUGUGAAUUGCAGGAUUCCGUGAACCGACAGGGACUUGAACGCAUA